UCCGAUAUGGUGUAGUGGCUAACAUUAUCGCCUUUCAUAUGACAGCUUAACAGCACGUUCAGAUCGCGAUAGCCCGGGGUUCAAUUCCCCGUGUCGGAA
This 99-nucleotide transfer RNA is filed under the name Sphaerobolus stellatus SS14. It matches the Rfam family "tRNA". Rfam says of the family: Transfer RNA (tRNA) molecules are approximately 80 nucleotides in length. Their secondary structure includes four short double-helical elements and three loops (D, anti-codon, and T loops). The record is from Rfam by way of RNAcentral. Lineage: Eukaryota; Fungi; Basidiomycota; Agaricomycetes; Geastrales; Sphaerobolaceae.